RNAcentral lists this ribosomal RNA (512 nucleotides) under Thecagaster pekinensis. Its description in RNAcentral is "partial 16S rRNA". It matches the Rfam family "Bacterial large subunit ribosomal RNA", at positions 1819 to 2597 of the family's 2925-position model. Lineage: Eukaryota; Metazoa; Arthropoda; Insecta; Odonata; Cordulegastridae. The record is from RNAcentral.
GUCUUCUUGAUAAAAUAGGAAGUCUGACCUGCCCAGUGAAAAUAUUUUAACGGCCGCGGUAUAUUGACCGUGCAAAGGUAGCAUAAUCAUUAGUCUUUUAAUAGGGGGCUGGAAUGAAGGGUUUAACGAAGUACUUACUGUCUCAUUUAAUUUGAUAUUAAAAUUUACUUUUUCAGUCAAAAAGCUGAAAUAUUAUUGGAAGACGAGAAGACCCUAUAGAGCUUUAUAUUUAAUUAUUUAAUAAAUUUUUGAUAAAAUUAUUAUUUAUUAUUUAAUAAAAUAUUUUGUUGGGGUGACAAAAAUAUAUAAUUAACUUUUUUAUUUAUAUAACAUUGGUAUAUGAAAAAUAGAUCCAGUUUUACUGAUUAUUAGAAUAAGUUACCUUAGGGAUAACAGCGUAAUCUUCCUUUAGAGUUCAUAUUCACAGGGAGGCUUGCGACCUCGAUGUUGGAUUAAGAUUAUAAUUAGGUGUAGCCGCUUAAAAAAUAGGUCUGUUCGACCUUUAAAUUCUU